UAGUCCACGCGGUAAACGAUGGAUGCUCGCUGUUGGUAUGAAUGUAUCAGCGGCCAAGCGAAAGCGUUAAGCAUCCCACCUGGGGAGUACGCCGGCAACGGUGAAACUCAAAGGAAUUGACGGGGGCCCGCACAAGCGGAGGAACAUGUGGUUUAAUUCGAUGAUACGCGAGGAACCUUACCCGGGCUUGAAUUGCAGAGGAAAGAUCCAGAGAUGGUGAUGCCCUUCGGGGCCUCUGUGA
This 241-nucleotide ribosomal RNA is filed under the name uncultured bacterium. Its description in RNAcentral is "partial 16S ribosomal RNA". It matches the Rfam family "Bacterial small subunit ribosomal RNA", at positions 791 to 1035 of the family's 1533-position model. The record is from RNAcentral.